This 393-nucleotide ribosomal RNA is filed under the name uncultured bacterium. RNAcentral's name for it is "partial 16S ribosomal RNA". It matches the Rfam family "Bacterial small subunit ribosomal RNA", at positions 523 to 918 of the family's 1533-position model. The record is from RNAcentral.
AUACGGAGGACGCGAGCGUUAUCCGGAUUCAUUGGGUUUAAAGGGUGCGCAGGCGGCCGUGCAAGUCAGCGGUGAAAGCCCGGGGCUCAACCCCGGAAGUGCCGUUGAUACUGCAUGGCUGGAAUGCGGUCGAGGCGGGGGGCACCGGGCGGGGCGCGGGGGAAUGCGUAGAUAUGCCACAGAACGCCGAUAGCGGAGGCAGCUCGCCAGGCCUGCAUUGACGCUCGGGCACGAAAGCGUGGGGAUCGAACAGGAUUAGAUACCCUGGUAGUCCACGCCGUAAACGAUGGGCGCUCGUCGUCGGCGGCAGACAGUCGGCGGCCAAGCGAAAGCGAUAAGCGCCCCACCUGGGGAGUACGGUCGCAAGGCUGAAACUCAAAUGAAUUGACGGGG